UGUUUGAUGAAUCUUACAAUUCGUAUAUCCUCAGAAAUAUGGUUUGAGGGUCUCUACAGGGAACCGUAAAUUCCCGGCUACGAAUGGGGUUGUCUCUGAC
Molecule: non-coding RNA, 100 nt
Filed under: Brevibacillus choshinensis
Lineage: Bacteria; Bacillati; Bacillota; Bacilli; Caryophanales; Paenibacillaceae
Description: Guanine sequence
Rfam family: Purine riboswitch aptamer
About the family: Riboswitches are metabolite binding domains within certain messenger RNAs that serve as precision sensors for their corresponding targets. Allosteric rearrangement of mRNA structure is mediated by ligand binding, and this results in modulation of gene expression. A class of riboswitches that selectively recognises guanine and becomes saturated at concentrations as low as 5 nM.
Source: RNAcentral